RNAcentral lists this ribosomal RNA (357 nucleotides) under uncultured bacterium. RNAcentral describes it as "bacterial SSU rRNA". It matches the Rfam family "Bacterial small subunit ribosomal RNA", at positions 9 to 355 of the family's 1533-position model. The record is from RNAcentral.
GAGUUUGAUCCUGGUCAGAAUCAACGCUGGCGGCGUGCNUAACACAUGCAAGUCGAACGCGGUUGCCCCGCAAGGGGUGACUGAGUGGCGAACGGGUGAGUAACACGUGGGUGACCUGCCUUCGAGUGGGGGAUAACGUCCCGAAAGGGACGCUAAUACCGCAUGACAUCCUGGCUUUGAACAGCCGGAUAUUAAAGCUGGGGAUCGCAAGACCUGGCGCUUGAAGAGGGGCCCGCGCCCGAUUAGCUAGUUGGUGGGGUAAUGGCCUACCAAGGCGACGAUCGGUAGCCGGCCUGAGAGGGCGGACGGCCACACUGGGANUGAGACACGGCCCAGACUCCUACGGGGGGCAGCAGA